CCUACGGGAGGCUGCAGUGGGGAAUAUUGGGCAAUGGGCGAAAGCCUGACCCAGCAAAGCCGCGUGAAGGAAGAAGGCUUUCGGGUUGUAAACUUCUUUUGACAGGGAAGAGCAGAAGACGGUACCUGUCGAAUAAGCCACGGCUAACUACGGGCCAGCAGCCGCGGUAAUACGUAGGGGGCAGGCGGUGUCCGGGUUUACUGGGUGUAAAGGGCGUGUAGCCGGGAUGAGAAGUCAGAUGUGAAAUCCGAGGGCUCAACCCGCGUACUGCAGUUGAAACUGUUGUUCUUGAGUGGCUGAGAGGCAGGCGGAAUGCGUAGUGUAGCGGUGAAAUGCGUAGAUAUGAGGAAGAA
RNAcentral lists this ribosomal RNA (353 nucleotides) under uncultured bacterium. RNAcentral's name for it is "partial 16S ribosomal RNA". It matches the Rfam family "Bacterial small subunit ribosomal RNA", at positions 338 to 706 of the family's 1533-position model. The record is from RNAcentral.